Molecule: ribosomal RNA, 511 nt
Filed under: uncultured bacterium
Lineage: Bacteria
Description: partial 16S ribosomal RNA
Rfam family: Bacterial small subunit ribosomal RNA
Source: RNAcentral
GACGAACGCUGGCGGCGUGCUUAACACAUGCAAGUCGAACGGAGAUUCAGCAAUGGAUCUUAGUGGCGAACGGGUGAGUAACGCGUAGGCAAUCUGCCUUCUAGAUGGGGACAACAUCCCGAAAGGGGUGCUAAUACCGAAUGUUGUACCGUUUCCGCAUGGAGAUGAUACUAAAGGUGGCCUCUGAAUAUGCUACCGCUAGAAGAUGAGCCUGCGUCUGAUUAGCUAGUUGGAGGGGUAACGGCCCACCAAGGAAACGAUCAGUAGCCGGUCUGAGAGGAUGAACGGCCACACUGGGACUGAGACACGGCCCAGCCUCCUACGGGAGGCAGCAGUGGGAAUCUUCCGCAAUGGGCGCAAGCCUGACGGGGCAACGCCGCGUGAGUGAUGAAGGCCUUCGGGUUGUAAAACUCUGUCUUCUGUGAAGAACAAGCCUAUGAAGAGAACGCUUAGGCCCUGACGGUAACAGAGGAGGAAGCCCCGGCUAACUACGUGCCAGCAGCCGCCGUAA